RNAcentral lists this ribosomal RNA (262 nucleotides) under Shigella boydii. RNAcentral describes it as "partial 23S ribosomal RNA". It matches the Rfam family "Bacterial large subunit ribosomal RNA", at positions 55 to 353 of the family's 2925-position model. Lineage: Bacteria; Pseudomonadati; Pseudomonadota; Gammaproteobacteria; Enterobacterales; Enterobacteriaceae. The record is from RNAcentral.
GACGUGCUAAUCUGCGAUAAGCGUCGGUAAGGUGAUAUGAACCGUUAUAACCGGCGAUUUCCGAAUGGGGAAACCCAGUGUGAUUCGUCACACUAUCAUUAACUGAAUCCAUAGGUUAAUGAGGCGAACCGGGGGAACUGAAACAUCUAAGUACCCCGAGGAAAAGAAAUCAACCGAGAUUCCCCCAGUAGCGGCGAGCGAACGGGGAGCAGCCCAGAGCCUGAAUCAGUGUGUGUGUUAGUGGAAGCGUCUGGAAAGGCGU